Molecule: long non-coding RNA, 2188 nt
Organism: Mytilus trossulus (common blue mussel)
Lineage: Eukaryota; Metazoa; Mollusca; Bivalvia; Mytilida; Mytilidae
Exons: 2
Source: RefSeq, a predicted model, not a curated record
UUUAAAGGCAGUGCUUUAAGGCCUGACUUUUAAGUCAUGAGGUUCAUCUUUUCAUACGCAAUCUUUGCAGGGGGUCUUUUGGCCAGAAAUAGACCCGGAAAUGUUCGAAUUUCUCCUCUUCUUUUUAUGGUAUAAUAUGGUUUUUGUUUCUUUCAUUUACAUUGGGGACUAAAGAAACGAUCAGUGUGUAUUGUUCGUUUUAUAGAAAUUGUUAUUAGUGUGUAUUUUGCAUUAUAAGCAGUCAACCUGACUACAAACUAUCAUUAUUUGUAUAUUCCGUGUGGAAAGAGGUCGGGUCAAUUUCAAGUGUUAUCUGACAUCUAAAGAUUCUUUAAUUAGUUCAGACGUUGAUAUAACAAUGAAAAGUCGACUGAACAUGAUUAAUAUUGCAUCUUCUAUAAUUCAAAACGGAAUUCGGUUUAUGAACGAGAAACCGUAAAGCGUUUUCAAUUUCGGUAUUAGUUAUGUAUGUUAUCUACAUAUUAUCCUGGUUCCCGAUACUACGUUCCGGGUAUUAGCUAUUUGAUAUAUUUGAUGUGUAACAUUACAAUCGGGUACCAGCCAAUCUACGUGUGUAUGUGUACAUGAUUUACCGCCAAAAUGACCGACUUAAAAAAUAGUCCAUAAACGUUCCGUAUAAUGAUAUGCAAAUUCAUAAUUAAUCGUAACUUUUUUUUAUCUUUGUAUAAUAAAUAUAACAAAAUGGAUUCCACAAAAUUGAAAAUAACAUUAUUUUACGAGGAUUUCUCAUAUUUUUCUCACUUCCGGCGCAGUAAUACGUAUGUUUUGAAGAAGCUCGAAGGAUUUGACAAAGUGAAUUGAGAAGGAAACGGAUAGAUAUACGUCCUUGCUAUCAGGGCACAAACCCACUUUAAAGAGACUUGUCUACUGCCAUACCCAUCCUAUUUUCAUGCUCCAUUUGCAAGCAAGAGACUGAAUGGUUUGCAAAAUUAAAAAUCAGGACGGUGUCCAAUUUAAAACAAAAGAACUAAACUGGAUGAAUAUUGUAGGAGAAAUCUAGAGGAAAGUUUUGAUUUGUGAAAUUGGUUUUCCUGAAAAGUCAUUCAUCCUAGCCUGCAGAAAGGAACUAUAACUGUCCACCACCAACUGACGAGCUAAUGUUGAGCUUCACAUAUGGAAUUACUCAAAUACCAUCAAUGUCUAUGUUUUCAGCACAGAUUUCACAAGUUAUGACAAAGCUGUGCUUUUUUCAUACCUGUUAAAGAGUUGUAUACUAAAUUUAUUUUUUUUAUCAAUAAAUAUAUUAUUGUGUCAUUUAAGAACUUGUAUUUUGCCAAAAAAUGCAUACUAGUGAAUGAAAGUGGUGCAGUUCAUUUUGCUUUGGUAUAUAGAAUUGAAUUACAAUUGUUCAUGUUAUUGGAAUGCUUAUAAAAAUAAGGAGAUGUGGUACAAUGUAUAUGAUAUUUAGUGAGUUUAUCAAGCAAAAGUGAAUAAGAAAUAGGUAUAAGCAGUUACAGGUACAUGUACUACUGUACAAUCUCAAACUAUGAGAAAAACUCAUACCGUAAAGAGAAUUUCAUAUUUACAAGUAAGUUUUGUUUUUGUGUUGAAUAAUUUUCUUCUAUUGUUUUAAUUGCAAAUAUGGGAAGUGGUUAAAUGCUAAUGAGACAGCUGUUAUGGCCACAGAGCUUUAAUUGAAAACUUCUUUUUCAUUCAUACCGGUAGAUUUUGCCUGGAGUUAGAAACAUAUCUGCCAACUUUUCAUAUUGCACAUGCGGGUUUUACGUGAAAGAUGGUCAAUAUAGUCAUACAAAACCUUCAAGGGAGCCUUCAAAUGGAAGCAGGACAAGUUGCCCCACUGGCUAAUCGUCCCACUUUUUUAAAAACUGCCACAAACUGAUUUAUCAAAUCACCCCACAUGUGAAAUUGGUUAAAUCAUGUUUAAUAUUACUCCUGUCAACUCGCCCUACUUAUAAAAAAACGGUAAUAUUUAGAUUAAUAUAUACAAUUAAAAAUAAAAACUCGCACCACUUUAACGAAAACUAAUCUACACAGAAUACAAACAAACCAAAAAUUAAUUUAAUUACUACAUGUAUUAUUGAUAUAUACUGAAAUUAUAAUUCUAAAAAUAAAACUGAUUGUUGAAGAAUAACUGUAAGUUUUGAAGCUUAGUUAUUUGCAUAACAGUUGAAAAGAAACCAGUUAAAUGUAUCAAAAUGCAAUAUAA